This 88-nucleotide transfer RNA is filed under the name Pseudomonadota bacterium. RNAcentral's name for it is "Proteobacteria bacterium (sediment metagenome) tRNA-Leu". It matches the Rfam family "tRNA". Rfam says of the family: Transfer RNA (tRNA) molecules are approximately 80 nucleotides in length. Their secondary structure includes four short double-helical elements and three loops (D, anti-codon, and T loops). Lineage: Bacteria; Pseudomonadati; Pseudomonadota. The record is from RNAcentral. RNAcentral also lists the same sequence under 1 other name.
GCCGGCGUGGUGGAACUGGCAAACGCAGGGGACUCAAAAUCCCCCGGGCUUUACGCCCUUGAGAGUUCGAGUCUCUCCGCCGGCACCA